Molecule: ribosomal RNA, 523 nt
Filed under: uncultured bacterium
Lineage: Bacteria
Description: bacterial SSU rRNA
Rfam family: Bacterial small subunit ribosomal RNA
Source: RNAcentral
AGGGUUCGAUUCUGGCUCAGGAUGAACGCUAGCUACAGGCUUAACACAUGCAAGUCGAGGGGCAGCAUGAUCUUAGCUUGCUAAGAUUGAUGGCGACCGGCGCACGGGUGAGUAACGCGUAUCCAACCUUCCCCUUAGUAGGGCAUAGCCCGGUGAAAAUCGGAUUAAUACCCUAUGUUUUUCCAAUGAGGACAUCUGAGCUGGAACAAAGAUUGAUCGCUAAGGGAUGGGGAUGCGUCCGAUUAGGUAGUCGGCGGGGUAACGGCCCACCGAGCCAUCGAUCGGUAGGGGUUCUGAGAGGAAGGUCCCCCACACUGGUACUGAGACACGGACCAGACUCCUACGGGAGGCAGCAGUGAGGAAUAUUGGUCAAUGGACGUAAGUCUGAACCAGCCAAGUAAGCGUGCAGGAUGACGGCCCUAUGGGUUGUAAACUGCUUUUAUCGGGGGAUAAAGUGAGGGACGUGUCCCUUAUCGUAGGUACCCGAUGAAUAAGGACCGGCUAAUUCCGUGCCAGCCGCGGC